UCUGUUGCUAUGCGCGUCACUGCUUUUGCUCCACAGAUCUUGACACUGACAGUUGGAGUUCGUUGGCGCCGUCGUACAAUUGUAAUCAAAUCAUUUCUCUUUUUACAGUACACAUUUGUAAUACUGUGUUUUUUCCCCCUCAGAAAACUACAUUUAUCAAUCGAUAUGGAUCACUUAAGAGCGGUAUAUCGCUACCUCAGCACAGGUGAGUAUCCUGAACAAGCCACCAAAGAGGGGUAUCAGAAAGAAAGCCAGUACAUUCGUUUUGAAAGGUAAGUACCUGUAUGUCCCUGAGAAGAAUGGAGAGUGUCUCUGUAGGGUUGUGACCGAUGAAGAGGAGAAGACUGCCAUUCUCAAUGAAGUUCACGCAGGACACUUUGGGAUCAAGAGAAUGAUGGGGAAAAUCAUUCAACGAUUUUACUGGAAAGGGAUUGUAAAGGACGUGGAGCAAUGGAUCCUGAAUUGUGAAGCAUGCCAGAGAUUUGAGAGGGUGAAGACUGUUGCCCCAGAACUGAAGCCAAUCAAAGUUGUUUCUCCAUGGUACAUGAUCGGUCGUAUCACUGCUGCAGUACAGUGGAAAGACAGUUUGGAUCGGGUGGCCACAUGUACAGCAGCAGCAGGGAUGUAGUGACUGUGGACUGUUUACCAUCGCAAACAGCCUCACACUCUGCAUGGGUGAAGAUCCAGGUAAGUUAUGAUCAAAAGCAAAUGCGUGAUCAUCUUUUUUCUUGUUUUGUAGCUGGAUCUCUUACUCCUUUCUCGAGCUGUGAGAGAACUCCCCUCCCAGAGGUACAUUUCCGUGAUGUGGAGGUCUACUGCACAUGCAGACCAUACAGGAUUGGACUGGAGCUGAUGGUGGAAUGCGGGAGGUGUGGCGAAUGGUUCCAUGGCCAGUGUGAAGAUCUACAGCCAGAUGACCUCAUAAGUAUGGAGGAGUAUAUGUGCUCCAUUUGCAGAGUUACACACAUGGGUAAGCAUGUAAGUAAAGGUGAAACAGAUUUAUUAUUUUGUUUUUUACUAUAUGUUUUUUUGAACAUUUUAUACUAAGCAUUCCAGCUUAGUAUAUUAUACUAACACUAAAAUUUGGUAAUGCCUGUCAAACAACUUUACCAUAAUUUAUAGCUAUUUACAUAUGUACAGUAGGGCAUUGUUAAUAAGGCUCAUUGUCUUCAGUGUUUAUUUUUCAUGAGCACACAACUACUUAUUUUGAAGACUUUUUUUUUCAGGAGACCUUGAUUCUGUAUUGAGACGUUUUUAUUUGGAGAAAUAUUGCAGAUGCUUUUGCACUUUCAUUUUUAAUUGGUAUGGUAGUCUUAGUUUCUGAGCUACUGAAUUAUUGCCUGACUUGAGUAUUUCCAGGGCAGAGAUAUCCAAAGUAAACUGGAUGUCAGUUCUAACACCCACCUUGUUUAAUGUAGUUAUUGUGAACCAGCUGGGGGAGGGGUUGAUUCACUGUAUUGAAGUGAAAUUGUGCCAAAUAAGGUGGGUGUAACAUGAUAUAAAAGUACAGUAAAUGUAAUUCUGAAGUAGUAAACAACUUCACAUUUUACAUGUACAUGUUUCAGACAGUACAUGUAAUGCUUCAAUUUCAAAUUCGAUUUCCAUUCCUAUUAAAUGAUAUUAGACAAUUACAUACUAUACAAGUUAACAGUAUGAAAUGUCAUUUUUAGACAGACAGCCUCUUUAAAGUCUUUCUUUUUUUGUGGGUUAUGUGAGAAGGCAUUUUAAAGUUCUGUUAAACCUGCUCCUAACAACCCACUCCAUAGGUCAGGACCUUGACGUGGUGA
Molecule: long non-coding RNA, 1787 nt
Organism: Acipenser ruthenus (sterlet)
Lineage: Eukaryota; Metazoa; Chordata; Actinopteri; Acipenseriformes; Acipenseridae
Exons: 4
Source: RefSeq, a predicted model, not a curated record